GUCUGGCUGUUAGUGUUGCUUUAAUCCAAUAAAGUAGGAAGGCAACUCUAAAAGUUGGGCACUGGGCCGCUUUCUGGUGAUCUUUUGUUGGAUUACUUUUUUCUUGUCAUAGUAGCUUGUUUUUUGAGUUUGAUAAAAAUUAAGCAAUUUCUUAUAGAUGGGUUUUAUCUGUCACGAGCAUGUUAUAAGAACUGGUAUUAGACCACCGGAGGGUUGUUCCCAACAGAAGA
Molecule: unclassified non-coding RNA, 230 nt
Filed under: Hevea brasiliensis (rubber tree)
Lineage: Eukaryota; Viridiplantae; Streptophyta; Magnoliopsida; Malpighiales; Euphorbiaceae
Source: RNAcentral